This 4701-nucleotide long non-coding RNA is filed under the name Ananas comosus (pineapple). Its description in RNAcentral is "long non-coding RNA (ACOM_LNC026341)". The record is from RNAcentral. Lineage: Eukaryota; Viridiplantae; Streptophyta; Magnoliopsida; Poales; Bromeliaceae.
AGCCUGACGAGAACAUCAGGGCUUAAAGGGAGGGAGAAUAUGAGACCCCAGAUAGUCCUAUAUAUAAGAUAUAAUUGGGUUAAAAUUUUAACAUUACUUAAAUAUUUUGAGUGGUGGCUAGACCCAAAAGGUUACGAGAGUUAAGUUUGCUAGGACAGGAGUAGUUCUAGAAUAGGUGACCCCCUAGGAAGUUGGGGCGUUACAGAUAAUCUCUAUAAAAAUACUUGAAUAACUAUGAAAUGGCUUCAUUUAUCAAUGAUUAAUUUUUUAAAAAAAUGGUCAGCUAGUUUCUAUUUUUUUUUCCCUUAUUAGAGAUGCAUGCAUUAUGAUCUAUUUUUGAAAACUAGUAGAAGCAAAUAUUAUAGGAUAAUUUCUAUACCCAAAAUCUUAUUUCAACUUAACACCUCAACAAAAAAUUUCUAAACAAUUGUUUCUUUCUUCUUUUUUUUUGAGAGAGAAAGGUAGUAUACUAUCCGCUUCGUAUAUUUUUUUAGAAAUAAACUUAGCUAAAAUGUGAAUCAACUAGGAUUCGAAUUUAGGACCUCGGGUAUCAACCACCAAGCCUUUUGUCACUUGCGUUUCAUAAUACAAUAAAGCAUUGUAUAUAUAACAUCAAACAGUUGGAUUAAUAGAGGCCUUUCAAUAUUGUGUGCACCUUAAGCCUCCAAGUAUUGUAUUGUUUAUUUAAAGGACAACCCCCCCCCCCCCCCCCCUCGUAUUUUUUCAUUUUAGUAAGUGAGAAAGUGUGAAACCACAUGAUACUAACUUGAUACACUUUAAACUAUAGGAUACUAAAGUGAGAAAGUGCGAAACCACAGGGCACUAACUUGAUACACUUUAAACCACAUGAUACUAAAGUCAAAAAGUGUAAAAUUACAUGGUACUAACUUGACACACUUUAAAUCACUAGGUACUAAAGUGAGAAAAAGUGAAACCACGAGGGGGUAUUUGAAGUUUUCUCUUAUUUAAUAUAUUAUAUAUAUAUAUAUAUAUAUAUAUAUAUAUAUACUAUAUAUAUAUAUUAUAUUAUAUAUAUCCUGUGAGAUGCAUUUGAUUAUAAUGUAGAAUUAUAUAUUAUAUAGGAUAAGCAAUCAAUGACCACAAAGUUUUGGUCAACAUUAAUACUGGUCUUAGCUCACUAAGAUAGAUUAAUUAAGUAUAACUCAAACACCAUAACCAUAUUUAAAUUUAUAUAUUUUUUGGGGAUAGAACUAACCAUGUAAUAUUUAAGACUAUUCCACCAAUUAAUAUAUUGUUUUAGCUCCUGCAAAAAGGCCAGAGUGGUAACAAUAGGAUGUUUGCAUUGACAACUUGCCAUUACAAUUUGCUCUUUUUUUUUCUUUUUUUUGGCUGUUUAAUUAAUCCAUCAAUUAUUAGUUCACCACCCUUUGGCAAAAAAUAAAAAAAAUAAGAAAACAAAAGGUCGCAGGUCAAAUUAAUUGGUCAAAUUAAUUAAGGAUAAUUAGAGUUCCUUAAUCAUUGCACCAAAAAAUGAUUACUAGAAAAAACCAAACAGUUUCAGAUCAAAAUUAGAUUCAUAAUAACAGUGAGGUUGCAGGUUUUAGAUCCUGCCUAGCUCUACUCAACAAAUCAGAUCUGGUCCAUUAAUAAUUCAAUUCGCUCCGAUUGGUCGGCGAAAAGCUUAAUUACAUUAAUUAGGUGUUGACUUGCAAAGAAAAAUAAUUAUGAGAAAAAUGUAUAUAUGGUGACCCCCUAAACUAAGUCCUUUUUGAAACUUCCCCCCUUCAAAGUCAGUAUUUUAAAUUGGAGAUUUUAUCAAAUUUAUCGAUAAAAUAUUCCUUCAAAUUUGAGAGAGCCAUUAACUAACAAAAAUAGUUCAAGAAAAAAAAAGGAAAAUUUAGAGAAUGCCAAUAAUAAAAUAUGAAGUUGAGGGGCCUUGGGGGUCUUCAUGCAAUUUUUACCUGCCAAAAAAAAUGGAGUGUGUUCCAUGUGCAAGUCUUGGAGACCCACCUGCUUGCUUAAGCCUCCGUUCAUGUGCCACCCCUUGGAGGAAGGUUUGGAAUAGGGUUUCAAACACAUGUUUAUGAAUUCCACCAUGUGAUUGUUUCUUCCUUUUGGCCUCUUUUCAAUUCUAUUUUUGUGCUUAACAACUCUAGUUUACUUUAUCAUUUGUUACCUAGCUAAAUUAAGAUUGAUCUUAUAGGAAACAAUUCAUAAAAAUAUAUUCAGGACCCACUCAUAUAUAUUUGACAGAUAGGGUAAGAAAUAGGAAUUUAAUCCACUACUGAGAUAUGAUAUAUAUAUAUUCGAGUUCUGUAACGCCCUAGGAUUUGGAUCAUCCUGUAUAUAAAGUAUAAUAGGACUAAACAUCUUAAAUCGGCUAUAAUAUUUUGGAUGGUGGAUAGACCUGAGAGGUUAAGAGAGCUAAGCGUGUUAGGACUAAAAUAGUUCUAGAAUAGAUGAUCGCCCUAGAAGUCGGGUGUUACAGUAGGUAUCAGAGUCAAUCACUAACCAAAAGUGUGAAAUGAGUCUUGAUUGAGCUAGUGUUAUACAACGGGUAGAGCGCGGCUCCCCUACUGACUAUCAUUGUGGGCGGAGCACGGCUCCCCGUAAAGUUUGCUAAGGCUAGCGAGACGAGUCUCACAUCAUCUGGUGCUUGCAAAUAUACUUGAAGUUAUGGCAUGUUUGGUCGCUCGAAAGUGGCUAAAUUAAAAAUGUUACUUUUACAAAAGUGACUUUUCAGUUCGAAUAUUUGUUUGGCUAUAAAUUAAAGUAUGAAAAACUAUAGUUUUAUAAUUUUGAUUAUUCAAUUAUAUAUAAAGAGGUGAAAAUAUAAAAAAUGACUUAUACUCAUAAUUUAAAUUAAAAAUUUAUAUUUACAUUUAUUUUAAAUUUCAAAAUUAUAUUUUAAAAUUUAAAUUUAAACAUAAAUUUGAGUUGAUCUUAUAAUUAAAAUUUAAUUAAGAUAUAAAUUAAAUUUACAAUUUCAAUUUCAAGUUUAAGUUAUAACUCAUAACUGAAAUUAAAUUUUAAAAUAAAAGUUCAAGGCAAAGACUAAAAUAUUUGUUCAAAUUUGAAUUCAUAAUUUGAAUUUGUAUUUUUAAUCAUAUUUUAAUUUACUUUUUGAUCUUAAAUUGUGAAUUCAAUAUGAAUGCACAAUUUGAAUUAAUAAUUAAAAUUAAAAUUAGAAUUAAAUCACAAUGCAAAUUAAAUAUUUGAAUUCAUAAUUCAAAUUCAAAGUUCAAAUUGAAAGUCAUUAUUGAAAUUAAAUAUAAAUAACAAAUUUAUAUUUAAAUUUGAAUUUCAUCUUAAAAUUUAAAUUUUAAAUUCAAAUUUCAGUCAGUAAUUUGAAUUUAUAGUUGGAACAGUUUAAAUUCAAAGUUCAAAUUGAAGUUCUUAGCUAAAAAUAAUUUGAUUAAAAUUUAAAUUUAAAUUCUAGAAUUCAUAUUUAAAUAAAAAUAAAAAUUUAGAAAUUUAAAUUUGAAUAUAAAGUCACAAAUUUGAAUUUAAGAAUUUUAUGUUGAAUUUGAAUUUACAAAUAAAAUUUAGAAUGUGAUCAUAAUUUUAAUUCAAAUUUAAAGUGAAAUUUAACUUUAAUAAUAAAUUCAAAGAUUAAAGUGUAGAUCAAAUAAUAUAACCUCUUACCUAAUUAAGCUCUCCACUUUCAGUGGCUUUCAAAUUUUUUGAGCCAAAAUCAAAAAAAAUAAUAUUUAGUUAUAACUGACUUUAUCAACCUACUUUUAUAAAAUGACUUUUAUAUUCAUUUUCGCAAAGUAAACAACUGAUAAAACAUCAUUUUUCAAAAGUGUUACUUUCGGCUAUCUAAAUAUGUUUUAACGAGAACGUUGGGGCUUAAAGAAAAGAGGAAUGUGACACCCCCAAUUUUGAAUUAAUCUUAUAUAUAAAGUAUAAUAUGACUAAAUCUCUUAAUCCGAUUAUAACAUUUUGGAUGGCGACUACAUUAAGAGGGUUAAGCGUGUUAGGACUACUGUUGGGAAUCCGGUACUCGCCCCGGUACCGGAUCUUGUGAAUCCGCAACCCGCUCCGAUACCGACUGCUGUGAAUUCGGUACCAAUGGUUGGGAUUCCGCAACGGAAACGUCAAAUCGGGUUUUUACCAUAAACCCGUCUCCUCAGCAAAAGCUGAUACAAUCAUAAAAGAGAGAAAUACCAAAAUAGAAAAUAUGCGGGUAAAAUAAGAUUCAUUAAAUAAGAGAAGAUUACACCUAACUCUUUCUGCACAGAGUAACUACAAUCCGAGCUCUCUUUCUGAAUCUCUCCUACCCUUCUCUCGUCUUCUAUAAUCCCAUAAAGAAGACAAUCAUCCGCGCGCACCCAUGCACUAGGUGCACUAAAUAACUCUCUCUCUCUCUUUCGCUCUCUGGUACGGCACCCAAGAGGCCUUUUCUCUUUCUCCCGUACUCACAUCAAAAAAAGCAAACCCACAAAGAGUUAUUUAUAAGGCUCCACUAAAACGUACCCCAAUCCUAAUGUAUUUAGAAUUUCUACUCCAAUUAAUAUCUAAAUCUAUCUUAAUUAAUCUCUAAUAGAUUUAAAUAUUAAUCCCAAUCUAGUUAGAUUUUAUCCUCUAAUUUAAUAUUUAAAUCUUAAUUUAUCUCCAAUAGAUUUAAAUAUUAAUUCUUAUCUAACUAGGAUUCAAUUACAAAUCUAACCAAAUCCUAACAACUACAGUAGUUUUAGGAUGAGUGACCACCUGGGAAGCGAGGCGUCACAAAUGAAU